CCUACGUGAGGCAGCAGUGGGGAAUAUUGCGCACUGGGCGAAAGCCUGACGCAGCGACGCCGCGUGAGGGAUGAAGGUCUUCGGAUCGUAAACCUCUGUCAGCAGGGAAGAACGGUCACUGUGCUAAUCAGCAGUGAAUUGACGGUACCUGCAAAGGAAGCACCGGCUAACUCCGUGCCAGCAGACGCGGUAAUACGGAGGGUGCGAGCGUUAAUCGGAAUUACUGGGCGUAAAGCGCUCGUAGGCGGGAUGUCAAGUCAAGGGUGAAAUCCCCGCGCUCAACGUGGGAACUGCCUUUGAAACUGGCAAACUGGAGUGUGUGAGAGGAUAGUGGAAUUCCAGGUGUAGGAGUGAAAUCCGUAGAUAUCUGGAGGAACAUCAGUGGCGAAGGCGACUAUCUGGCACAUAACUGACGCUGAGGAGCGAAAGCGUGGGUAGCAAACAGGAUUAGAUACCCUGGUAGUC
Molecule: ribosomal RNA, 465 nt
Filed under: uncultured bacterium
Lineage: Bacteria
Description: partial 16S ribosomal RNA
Rfam family: Bacterial small subunit ribosomal RNA
Source: RNAcentral